Molecule: ribosomal RNA, 425 nt
Filed under: uncultured bacterium
Lineage: Bacteria
Description: bacterial SSU rRNA
Rfam family: Bacterial small subunit ribosomal RNA
Source: RNAcentral
UGAGGAAUAUUGGUCAAUGGGCGCGAGCCUGAACCAGCCAAGUAGCGUGAAGGAUGACUGCCCUACGGGUUGUAAACUUCUUUUAUAAAGGAAUAAAGUGAGGCACGUGUGCCUUUUUGUAUGUACUUUAUGAAUAAGGAUCGGCNAACUCCGUGCCAGUAGCCGCGGUAAUACGGAGGAUCCGAGCGUUAUCCGGAUUUAUUGGGUUUAAAGGGAGCGUAGAUGGGUUGUUAAGUCAGUUGUGAAAGUUUGCGGCUCAACCGUAAAAUUGCAAUUGAUACUGGCAGUCUUGAGUACAGUUGAGGUAGGCGGAAUUCGUGGUGUAGCGGUGAAAUGCUUAGAUAUCACGAAGAACUCCGAUUGCGAAGGCAGCUUACUAAACUGCCACUGACAUUGAUGCUCGAAAGUGUGGGUAUCAAACAGGA